AAAAUAACAAUAAUACUACUCCCAAAUUAGGCCUAUAAUCUCUUCAAUACGAGAGUAUCCAACAGCCUCGAGGUUUUUUACUCGACAGAGAGCGAGGAAAACAAAAGAGGAAGAGCGAAAUAUAGAACAAGGAUUGAACAGAGCAAAUCAAAAACCCUAGGAACGACAAUCAGUUGUAUGAGGUUCGUUCAUCACUAUAAUCUUUCAGUCCGGGUUGUAAUUCGUAGUUACAGACUUACAGUUGAGCUGUAAAUAAUGCUUGAAGUUAGUGUAAUUCGUAAUCCGAUAUCCAUUGUAUGUUUGCCUUCGUUGGCUUACUUGAUUUGUGCGAUUGAUUCUACUUACAAAUGCUAUAUUAUAAACUCUACAAUAAGAUCUGGUUCACUUUAGUUUAUUAAGAUUAAAAAAAUCCUUUGAUACUUGAUUUAAAAUGAAAUCCAUAUGAAAAUGAAGAUUCAUUUUAUUAUUACAAUCACACACUAAUAUAGAGAUAGUUCUCUCUAUUUAUACAUGUAAACUGCUUACAUUAGAGGCUAAUUAUCAAACUAAUUGUAUUACAAAAAUGCCAUAAACAGAACUAGCAUAAGCCACUGUCAUGAAUUUGAUUGUGUUGGCUGAGGGCUUGUGACGCUAUGCUGCUGUGAGUUUCACUCAGAAUUAUAAGCUUCACUUGUCAUAUCUAUAACAUCCCUCCCUCAAGUCGGCAUUACGAAACAAGUUACAAAUGCUCAACUUGGUCAAUAAUUGUUUAAGAUGCUGUGAAGCUAAAGACUUGGUAAGCAAAUCAGCCGUCUGCUCAAGAGUGAACACAUAGUGAACACAUGAUGAGUAGAGAUAAAACCUUGCGUAAGCUUAUACCGUACAAGGUGACAAUCUAUCUCAAUAUGUUUAGUGUGCUCAUGAAACACAGGAUUUGACGCAAUAUGGAGAGCUGCUUUGUUGUCACGGUACAGAGGAAUAGGCUUAGAAACUUGGAUACCAAAAUCUUUUAAAAGAGCUGAAAUCCAUACUAGUUCACAACAUAUGUUGCCCAUGGAUCUAUAUUCUGAUUCAGCAGAGUACCUGGACACAGUAGGUUACUUUUUACGUUUCCAUGGAAAUAAGAGCCAAGUAAGACACAAAAGCCAGAUAUUGAUAGUCUACUAUCAGGACAAGAAUCCCAAUCUGCGUCACAAACACCUGAAGACUAUUGUUGGCCGGAAAGAGUAAACCUUGUCCCAAACUGCCUUUAAGAUAUUUAACCAACUUCAAUGCAGCUUCAAAAUGAGGGGUUUGAGGCUGAGCUAGAAACUGACUUGGAAUAUAUGAACACCAUAACUAAUGUCAGGUCUAGUUAUAGUAAGAUAUACUAGCCUGCCUACCAAUCUUCGGUAGGCAUUGCUGUCAGAAGCCGAGAGAAGAUCCCCUUUAUUUGAGGCAAGCUGAUGAUGUUGAUCCAUAGGAAUAACACUGGGUUUAGAACCUUAAAGACCAGUUUCUUGUAAGAUAUCAAGAACAUAUUUCCUUUGAUUAAUAUAAAUACUAGUAUCAUUCCUUGCAUUCUCUAAACCCAAAAAAUAUUUCAAAGAUCCCAAGUCUUUAAUCUUAAACUAAGUGUUAAGAAAAGACUUGAUAGUAGUAAUAGUAGAAGCAUUGUUUCGUGUGAUGAUAAUGUUAUAAACAUAAACAAGGAGAGCAGUAAAUGAGGAACCCUUGGUUGGAACAAAUAGAGAAUGAUUACUUUUUGAUUGAAUAAAUUCAUAACUAAGAAGCACACUUGACAAUUUUGAAAACCAUUGUCUUGGAGCUUGUUUGAGCCCAUACAAUGAUUUUAUUAAUUUCCAAACCACGGGAGCAGAAGAAUUAUCUAGACAUUGAAAUCCAGAAGGUAAAUCCAUGUAGACAUCCUCUUGUAAACCACCACGAAGGAAAGCGUUAGAAAAUCUAUUUGAGACAAAUGCCACCUUUUAGUGGAUGCCAAUGCUAAAAGAAGUCUAACUGUAGUCAUUUUGACUACGGAAGCAAAAGUUUCAAAAUAGUCUUGGCCAUGUGUUUGUGUAAAGCCUUUUGCCACCAACCUAACUUUUUACUUGUCGAUAGAACGAUUAGCAAGAAACUUGGUCCUAUAGAUCCAUUCGCAUCCAAUAGUUUGAUGUCCUUUAGGCAAGGAAGUCGAUAUCCAAGUCUUAUUGGACUCUAAGGCUUGAAUUUCAUCGGCCAUGGCCUGUUGCCAGUGAGAAUGUUUCACAGCUUGAGCAUAGGUUUUAGGUUCACAAUGAGAAGAUAUAGCAGCUAGAAAGAGCUGAUGUCUUGGGGUAAAGUGAGAAUAAGAGAUGUAAUGAGGUAAAGGAUAUGAAGAGGAAACAUGUGCAUCAUAAGAUACCUGUGCUGAAGUAGGAAGAGACUGAGUAAAUAUAGAUGGUAAGCUUGUAUAAUCUUUAAACUUUGCAGGAAGUCUCUUAGAUUUAUGAGAAACAUAUUUAUUCAUAGAGGGAGAAACAUGGGAUACAUCAUUAGAGGCAUCAUUUAAAGAAGAAGAAGAGACACCACUAGAAUUGGAAAUAUCCAAUGAAGGCGACAAAGGUGAAUUAAGUGAAGAAUCUAUUUCUGAGAAUACAGGGCAACCAUAGUAAAUCAUCAGUUUGGAGAAUAAAAGGAUCAUGAGGAAAUAAAGAGCAAUUAAAAUACCACAUGGUAUUUGGCCCAGUGGUAUGACUCGCCUCAUGGUAUUCAUGAGGUCGAGGGUUCGAUUCUUGGUGGCAACAAGGAGGGUGUGUGCGUGUCAAUGUAGCAAAAGAAAAAAGAAAAAAGAGCAAAGAGCUUACCCUGGCAAAGAGCUUCCCUUUCUUAGUCGAGGGGUUUGGUUCCUCUUCCUACUUUCCUUUUUUAGUCGAAUACCUCGCCAGUUCCAUUUUCAGUCUUAGCCAAGUAGCCUUCACUCAUAAACUCUGGUUUAUGGCAAAACCCUCUCCCUGUAGGUCUCGUACCCAAAGCCCUAUCCCUGCCUGUGAGGUCAAGUAUCUGAGGAAUCUAAAUCCCUUUCGAGUUGGUCCCUUGGAAACUCUCUAUCUUCAGAGCCUCUUUCUGGUCGAGGAGUUGGGUUCAUCCCUUGAAGUGGAGUUACUCUCCUACCCAAUGAAACUCCGAUUUAUGUCACCUCUCCCAGGACGAAGUUAAGCAGAGAAAUUAGGGUGCCGAGGACAAUCCGCGAACCCACGUUCAUCAAGCACUUCGCUGACAUAAGUUGAGACUGAAAACCUCAUUCUGAUUGAUCUAGGAACCUUUACCCGACAGACCAAACAAGGGAUUCGCGCAUGCCACUCAUACCUAUCAACCGAAGCCCCUCUGGCCUGCCGGGAAGAUAUUUAACAAAGAAAUUAUUUUAGAGAUUGCCAUAAACAGGAACGCUUUACUUUUUAAUUAUGUACUAUAUGGCAUAUUCUUGUCCCGUACUCCACGUUAUUUAAAUUAAGGAACUAGCCUAGCUAUUUCAGGGGGAAGCUCCUAACCUGUCAGUAUGAGCACCGCAUCGUAUGUUCCCCCCUCACCCCGCAACUUCAAUCCCUAUAUGCGCCUAUUUCUGCUUAUUUCUUGUUGUAUAUUUUUUGUUAUUACUCUUUAUUUCUAUAAGCUCUAUUAACGCUCACCUCCAACCCAGACCGGUGGAGUCGAGCUGUCCCAUAUAUAGUCUUUCAGUCCCUCUCUGAUAAACAAUACUACUCAUAACGAAAAAGAGAUUGAUUUACAGAUAGAUAUCGUGUGUACUGAUUGACCAGACAGCUCAACCGUUGACCAGCCAAUCGGCAAAUACAUUUUUACAGAAAGACCGGUGUGCCACACUUUCAACUCCAACUACUACAGGAAAGAUUCCACCUCCCUCUCAUGAUAAAAUUUGAUCUCCUUCCAUACUUCACAAGCAGCAGCUAGCUCCGGAAGCAUGAUAAAUAUGAAGAGGAAACCUGUG
RNAcentral lists this long non-coding RNA (3943 nucleotides) under Panax ginseng (ginseng). RNAcentral's name for it is "long non-coding RNA (PGIN_LNC016183)". The record is from RNAcentral. Lineage: Eukaryota; Viridiplantae; Streptophyta; Magnoliopsida; Apiales; Araliaceae.